AGAACGAACGCUGGCGGCAUGCCUAAUACAUGCAAGUCGAACGAACACUUCGGUGUUAGUGGCGCACGGGUGCGUAACGCGUGGGAAUCUGCCCUUGGGUUCGGAAUAACAGUUGGAAACGACUGCUAAUACCGGAUGAUGACGAAAGUCCAAAGAUUUAUCGCCCAGGGAUGAGCCCGCGUAGGAUUAGCUAGUUGGUGAGGUAAAGGCUCACCAAGGCGACGAUCCUUAGCUGGUCUGAGAGGAUGAUCAGCCACACUGGGACUGAGACACGGCCCAGACUCCUACGGGAGGCAGCAGUAGGGAAUAUGGACAAUGGGCGAAAGCCUGAUCCAGCAAUGCCGCGUGAGUGAUGAAGGCCUUAGGGUUGUAAAGCUCUUUUACCCGAGAUGAUAAUGAACAGUAGUCGGAGAAGUAACGCCCCGGACUAACCGUCCGCGCCAGCGACGCCGC
RNAcentral lists this ribosomal RNA (453 nucleotides) under uncultured soil bacterium. RNAcentral describes it as "bacterial SSU rRNA". It matches the Rfam family "Bacterial small subunit ribosomal RNA", at positions 26 to 518 of the family's 1533-position model. The record is from RNAcentral.